CCUUACCUUUAUCCAAAUAAAUUUAGGAAUAUUUUAACUUUUGGGCACAAUGAGAGUACAAAUGAUAUUUAGUUCCUUGUGCAUUAGAUCACAUACAAUAAGAAUAAGAUGAUUGUUUAUACCAUAUGCCUUAACUAUAUGAUAUUAUAUCUUUCUUAUAUUUGCAUUAGGGUUGGAUGCUCAAGAAUUGUUUGAUGCUUCUCACUUUAAAUCUUGGCCAAGGAACAUUGCUCUACCUAUAAGUGUUAAAAUCAAGGAUCACCAACAUCAAUGGAAGAAAUUAAACUUACCUCAAAGCAUAAGGUCAAUUGUUUGUCUUAACAUGCCUAGCUUCCCUGGUGGACUAGACCCUUGGGGCAAGCCAAAUUUUAGGAGAAAAAAAGAGAGAAACUUUACAUCAUCUUUUGUAGAUGAUGAACUUCUUGAGAUAAUUGGAUUUAGAGAUUCAUGGCAUGGGGAAAAUUUUCUUCCUUUAAAUGACCAUGGGACUCGUCUUGCACAGGCACACCAAAUUCGCUUUGAGCUUCACAAAGGGGUAGCUAAGCAUAUUGACAUGAAUUUUGAUGGGACAAGAUGGAAACAACCUACCCCUAUUGGUGAUGACAACUUCCUGAUUGAAAUCUCUUAUUCAUGUAAAACCAAAAUGCUUGCAACUUCAGCUUCAAAAUGCAAACACAAAUCUAAGUCCUACUCCAAUUAAAUCUUUUCAACAGGGUUGAAAUCUUCAGUGAGGUUUUCAUGCUAAACCUUUAUAUGAGGAUAACAUGAUAAAAACUUUAUAUGUAUAUAUAUAAAGCCAAAAAUAUUUGAUGGGUGGAUAUUGAUGAAAUUAUAUUUCAUUUAAAUU
RNA transcript from Vitis riparia (riverbank grape), 847 nucleotides. It is a transcript of the gene named diacylglycerol kinase 6-like, with no coding region annotated. NCBI's taxonomy places the organism in Eukaryota, Viridiplantae, Streptophyta, Magnoliopsida, Vitales, Vitaceae. The transcript has 5 exons. The record is from RefSeq and is a predicted model, not a curated record.